This is a long non-coding RNA of Mirounga angustirostris (Northern elephant seal), 3334 nucleotides long. RefSeq lists it as uncharacterized. The record is from RefSeq and is a predicted model, not a curated record. Lineage: Eukaryota; Metazoa; Chordata; Mammalia; Carnivora; Phocidae. The transcript has 3 exons.
UGGCCUUGUGUUUGAGUCUGAUGUACUUGCAGUUUGAGACGGUUCUGGUCAAUUACAAGUAUUUCAGUACAUUAUAUUCCUGCGUCCUGUUGUGUCAGGAACUGAGAACUCCCCCAAAAUAUAGCCACACAUUUCUAUCCGGAUAGGUGAUUUAUCAUUGACAGCCCGGCAUGGGGCAACACGGACCCAAAGAACAAACUGCUUCUCCAUCGUGAAGGAACAGUGACAUCUGGGAGAUGGUCCACACCCCGUCACCCUCCUGGGUCUCCACCCCAGUUCCUUUGAGAGGAACUAUGCCCAUGCGUUUACAGUCUUGAAAUUCAGGUAGAAUCGUCAAGCAAGGGCCUUCACUUGUGGCACAGGGAUUGUCAUAUGGGAAUGUACUAUUACUGUGCUUUUUACAGUUUGCUUGGCGCGAGACCCCAUAGCAAGUUCUUCCUCGGUUGUUGGUGCUUCCUGUGGAAAUGGGGCUGCCAGGGUCUGUCUGUUUCUUAGGACCUUCAAUGCAUGUUUAUUGUUCAUGUGACAUUAUUUUAAUGCAUCAUGUGCUUAUCCUCUUUUUGAAGGUCUUUAUUCUGAGCCCAAAAGCGCACCAAACCUGAGUCUUGAUCCAAGUAGUUGACAGCUCCCAGACUUGGCUCCUGUUGCCAUCUCUUUCUGUAUGUGCUUUAUGAUUCUGGACACAGUUUUCAUUACUCCUCUACCUCUCCUUCCUUACCUAGAAGUACGUUGGCCACAUUUGAAAAACAACUUCAUCACACUGAAAACUUGUGAGCAACUGAAACCCACAGGUUAUCAUUGGAGCACCUUGGGAGAAAUCUUUGAAAGCCCAGCCUGUCAGCAAAACAAAUAAAAAUAAAAAUAAAAAUAAAUAAGUAAAGAGAAAGCCUAAAAAACCAUCUCCUUAAAAAAUAAAAACAACAACUGAAUUUGCUGGUGGAGAAGAAAGAUCACAGUAUUGGAUUCGACAGCCCGGGGUUCACAUCCCAGGUUUGCCCAGUAAAGCCCCAUAGUUUACAGGCUGUGUGACCUUGAGCAAAUCAUGUCACCUCUCAGAACCUGUUUUCCUCACCUGAAAACUCGGAUCAGAAUGUCUACUGCAGAGUGAUUAUGAAAAUGACAGAAGGACGACUGUGUCAGUCAGCUCGGGAUAGCUGAAGCAACAGGUAAUUCUGUUUUCACAAUUCCGGAGGCUGAUGAGUCUAAGAGCACAGUGCCAGGGUGGUUGGUUUCUUGGGUUCUAGGUGGCUGCCAUCUUGCCGUGUGCUUAUAUGACUUCUUCUUUGUGUGUGUGUGGGGAGGAUGAGCCCUGGAGCUGGGCCCCACCCUUACAUGACCGCCUUUAACCUUCAUGACCACCUUGUUGGCCCUGUCUCUAAAUACAGAUGCAUCGAGGGGUAGGGCCUCAACCUCUGAACCGACGGGGUGACAGUGGGGCCGGAUUCGAUCCAUGACCAUGGCAGAAGGACAGCCUUACUUAACAUCCCGACUGGCACGCAGCAGCAGUGACACCAGCCGCUCGAAGCACGUGCUUGGUGUCGGCCCCCCACGCGGAGAAGUUUCUGGGCCUUGGCCUCGGCCACCGACAACAUGGAUGGCGCCUUUGUGCUUCAGUCGUGCAGUUAUUUAUGGCGGUGCGCUCAUACUUUUAGCUGUUCUCAUCCCUCAGCUUUUAGGAGUCCUUGGGAAAACAUUUUUUUUUUUCUCCGCUUAGCCAAAGCUUAUUUGAAGUUGCUGAACAUUAAAAAAAAAAAAAAAGGUCACUCUUGUCCAUAUGGAGGAAGUGGGUUUUUUUUUUUUUUUGUCACCGUCGUUAUAAUUGGCGAGUGAGAUAGGCCUACAGAGAGUGAGGAUUAAGGUCGCAGUCUUUCUGAAAUUCUAGAGGAGAUGUAACCCCGAAAUUCUGCACGCCCAGUCCCAGUGGUUGGCGAAAGCCCGGGACGCACAGAGCUUGCAAACGGAGGGAUGCUUCUCUGAGCCCCGUUUCCCCGCCUGUGGGCCCCGGGGGAAGGCUUGGGGUCCCUGGAGACCAGGAACUGAGGAAUGUGCCCUUGGCUCUUUUGACUCCAUGGGGAGCCCAAAGAUGCUGGCAUUUCGAUUAAACACGUUGGGUAAUCUUUGGUGCCUAAGGAACUAAGCUGUUUCUGAGUGCUGAACGUAGUUGCUCCCUGAGGCCAGCCUCGAAAAGCUUAGGAAUGCUUUCCACUGGGGAAGUUUGGCUAAUUGCGUGUGUCAGACAUUGAAUUACAGUCAGCCUGUGGUUUUCACGCUAAGCCUCGGAGACCUCCUCACUGUUAGGGAAUGUGAGCGUGUGCCAUGGGCAUUCCCUAGGGUAGCACGAGAGGAUCUGCAGGCCCGUGGAUCCAUACUCUGUUAGACUGAGAAGUCUGCCUUCCAAAUCCACCCAUCCCGUUUGGCCCGGUGAUCCUAGUGUUCACACCAACUGCUGGCCUCUUGUCCUCCCUCCUAUUAAUCCAGCAGCUCCUUGGAGUUGGAUGGGAGAUGAGCAGGGGAGAUGAGUGGGGAGACUGCAACCCCUCAGCUCACACCAGAGGAGGUCCGCGGACUUUGGAGUCAGACAGACCAGGAGUUGGAUCCUGAGACCUCGACUUGCAGUGUAAUCUUGGGCAAAACAUCAGUUUCUCUGAACCCAAGUCUCCUCAUCUUUAUGAAGGGCAAUCAUUUCUUCUGCUUCAUACAGUUAUCGAUAGGACCAAUGAAGACAGUACCUGUAAGUGUUUAGCCUAUGACUGAGACCCAAUAAGUGAUUGAUAAAUGUUAGCAAUUGUUGAGAUCGGGAAAAUGAGUGAAAUUAAUGUAUGAAUAACUAGUAAGUAAUUAGACAGAUUUGAUCCCACAGGUAAUACCGCAUUUGUCAGGGAUUCGUAUAGUGUCUUAAAGUCGUUGAGAUAGAAGGACUGGGCUGAGGAAGAGUUUGUUGCUUUGUUUGUAGGGAGAGGGAAGUGGGGAGACUGGAACCCCUCAGCUCCCCCCAGAAAGCUAGUUCUGAAUGAUACUUGUAACAACACUGCAGGCCUAUUGAUGGCUUCUUCCUUGGAGCAGGGAUGUCCAGUUCAAUUGAGGAAGUGUUUAACAGUCCCUUGUGAGGGGCCAGCAUUGUACCAAGUGCUGAGGGUAGGGGGAUUUUUAAAAAGUGCAAAAUGUGAGAGCUAAAAGCCAAGUGUUAUAAAAGCUAAUUGUUUAGGUUAUUCACUCGUGGUUUCGUUUUCCUGGUAAAAGAGUACAGAUUUUAAUUGUCAUUACCUUCCAUGGAGAAGUUCUUGAAGAUUUUUUUUUAAAGAUUUUAUUUAUUUGACAGAACGAGAGAGCACAA